AUACAGCUAACGAGUGUCAAACAAGACGAAAUGCGCAUCCUGGAU
Molecule: non-coding RNA, 45 nt
Filed under: Trichobilharzia regenti
Lineage: Eukaryota; Metazoa; Platyhelminthes; Trematoda; Strigeidida; Schistosomatidae
Source: RNAcentral